This 492-nucleotide ribosomal RNA is filed under the name uncultured bacterium. RNAcentral describes it as "partial 16S ribosomal RNA". It matches the Rfam family "Bacterial small subunit ribosomal RNA", at positions 29 to 507 of the family's 1533-position model. The record is from RNAcentral.
AGUGAACGCUGGCGGUAGGCCUAACACAUGCAAGUCGAACGGCAGCACAGUAAGAGCUUGCUCUUACGGGUGGCGAGUGGCGGACGGGUGAGGAAUACAUCGGAAUCUACUUUUUCGUGGGGGAUAACGUAGGGAAACUUACGCUAAUACCGCAUACGACCUACGGGUGAAAGCAGGGGAUAUUCGGACCUUGCGCGAUUGAAUGAGCCGAUGUCGGAUUAGCUAGUUGGCGGGGUAAAGGCCCACCAAGGCGACGAUCCGUAGCUGGUCUGAGAGGAUGAUCAGCCGCACUGGAACUGAGACACGGUCCAUGCUCCUACGGGAGGCAGCAGUGGGGAACAUUGGGCAGUGGGGGCAAGCCUGAUCCAGCCAUACCGCGUGGGUGAAGAGGGCCUUCGGGUUGUAAAGCCCUUUUGUUGGGAAAGAAAAGCAGCAGGUUAAUACCCCGCUGUUCUGACGGUACCCAAAGAAUAAGCACCGGCUAACUUCGUG